AUUGUACACCUGUGACUGACUUUGAUGACUGUUGAGGGAAUGUAACAGAUCUUUGUCCAGAUAAUAUUGUUUGUGCAUGCAAAGAUGGAGAGCCUUUUACAGAGAACAGAGGAGUUUAUCAGGACUCCAACCUCGGCAUUAUUCUGCAUAUGCUCUUGAUACUGCUGUGAGACCUUCUCAAAUGGAUCAAGUUGGAGCAAAUAGAUUGUUCUAGUGAGGGGAUGCACUCCUCAAAACUGGAAGUAUUCCAGAAGAGACUACGAUGAGACAGGAAUGACAUCUUCAAGUGGGAAAGCAGACUAGAUAACAGCUAAGAUUCUACAAUAAGUCAACUCUCAAAUUCUGUAUCCUUUUUAGUAUAUCAUAUUUUAAAUUUGCUGUAGCUUCUUUCAUAUUUAAAGACUCAAAGGAGCUCUCUUUUUUUUUUCCUUAUCUUUCAAUACUAUGUUCUCAGUAUGUUAAAUGCCAAGGUUAUUCUUUGAAGCCUAUUUUCUAAUAUAUAACAUUUAGUUCAUUGAAGCUUAUCUUCUGAGUUUUACCAGCUCAUCCAGCCUUGGGAGAUCUCCAUGCAGAUGUCCUUGUCUGAUUGACAGUUCAUUUUCAGGAAGGCCAGCAUCAAAUGUUGGAUUUUUGUUUUGUUUUGUGUUUUCCUUUGUUUUUUUUUUUAAUUAAAUUUAUUGG
Molecule: long non-coding RNA, 681 nt
Organism: Pteropus alecto (black flying fox)
Lineage: Eukaryota; Metazoa; Chordata; Mammalia; Chiroptera; Pteropodidae
Exons: 3
Source: RefSeq, a predicted model, not a curated record